CCUACGGGGCGCUGCAGUGGGGAAUAUUGGACAAUGGGCGAAAGCCUGAUCCAGCCAUGCCGCGUGUGUGAAGAAGGCCUUCGGGUUGUAAAGCACUUUCAGUGGGGAAGAAAGCCUUGGGGCUAAUACCCUCGAGGAAGGACAUCACCCACAGAAGAAGCACCGGCUAACUCCGUGCCAGCAGCCGCGGUAAUACGGAGGGUGCGAGCGUUAAUCGGAAUUACUGGGCGUAAAGCGCGCGUAGGCGGUCUGAUAAGCCGGUUGUGAAAGCCCCGGGCUCAACCUGGGAACGGCAUCCGGAACUGUCAGGCUAGAGUGAAGGAGAGGAAGGUAGAAUUCCCGGUGUAGCGGUGAAAUGCGUAGAGAUCGGGAGGAAUACCAGUGGCGAAGGCGGCCUUCUGGACUGACACUGACGCUGAGGUGCGAAAGCGUGGGUAGCAAACAGGAUUAGAUACCCGGGUAGUC
This 465-nucleotide ribosomal RNA is filed under the name Vreelandella stevensii. RNAcentral's name for it is "partial 16S ribosomal RNA". It matches the Rfam family "Bacterial small subunit ribosomal RNA", at positions 338 to 795 of the family's 1533-position model. The record is from RNAcentral. Lineage: Bacteria; Pseudomonadati; Pseudomonadota; Gammaproteobacteria; Oceanospirillales; Halomonadaceae.